UACAAUCGGCUGGCGGGCGCGUGGUGGCCGAGGUGAAGGCAGUGCGCGCGGUGUCCGACGCGCCCGCGCUCUUGCUGGCCGAGCCCGAGCACACGCAAGAAGAUAGAUUUGUGUACCUUGCGCUGGAGUUGCAAAUAGUGCCAGUGAAUUACGAGUGGGUGUUAAACUGCCUGGGUAGCUACACCCUCAGUCCCAUACACGAGCUGCUCCUGUGUCCAGCACCGCUGCUGCCGCAGGCCACCGCCGCGUGGCCGGCAGAGCUGAUGUCGCGCGAUUUUGAAUCUUAAUACCUUUUCUAUCGUUAUAAUGUUGAAUAAAGUUAUUAUGGCAUUUAUUAUGA
This is a long non-coding RNA of Ostrinia nubilalis (European corn borer), 340 nucleotides long. RefSeq lists it as uncharacterized. NCBI's taxonomy places the organism in Eukaryota, Metazoa, Arthropoda, Insecta, Lepidoptera, Crambidae. The transcript has 2 exons. The record is from RefSeq and is a predicted model, not a curated record.